RNAcentral lists this ribosomal RNA (292 nucleotides) under uncultured bacterium. RNAcentral describes it as "partial 16S ribosomal RNA". It matches the Rfam family "Bacterial small subunit ribosomal RNA", at positions 505 to 796 of the family's 1533-position model. The record is from RNAcentral.
GUGCCAGCAGCCGCGGUAAGACGUAGGGGGCGAGCGUUGUCCGGAUUUAUUGGGCGUAAAGAGCGCGUAGGCGGCCCGGAAAGUCGGAUGUGAAAACCCGGGGCUCAACCCCGGGCCUGCAUCCGAUACUCCUGGGCUGGAGGCAGGUAGGGGAGAUCGGAAUUCCUGGUGUAGCGGUGAAAUGCGCAGAUAUCAGGAGGAACACCGGUGGCGAAGGCGGAUCUCUGGGCCUGUCCUGACGCUGAGGCGCGAAAGCUAGGGGAGCGAACAGGAUUAGAUACCCGGGUAGUCC